This 404-nucleotide ribosomal RNA is filed under the name uncultured bacterium. RNAcentral's name for it is "bacterial SSU rRNA". It matches the Rfam family "Bacterial small subunit ribosomal RNA", at positions 352 to 773 of the family's 1533-position model. The record is from RNAcentral.
CAGUGGGGAAUUUUGGACAAUGGGCGAAAGCCUGAUCCAGCCAUGCCGCGUGAGUGAUGAAGGCCUUAGGGUUGUAAAGCUCUUUCAGUAGGGAAGAUAAUGACGGUACCUACAGAAGAAGCCCCGGCUAACUACGUGCCAGCAGCCGCGGUAAUACGUAGGGUGUGAGCGUUAAUCGGAAUUACUGGGCGUAAAGCGUGCGCAGGCGGAUUGUUAAGCAAGAUGUGAAAUCCCCGGGCUUAACCUGGGAAUGGCAUUUUGAACUGGCAGUCUAGAGUGCGUCAGAGGGGGGUGGAAUUCCACGUGUAGCAGUGAAAUGCGUAGAGAUGUGGAGGAACACCGAUGGCGAAGGCAGCCCCCUGGGAUGACACUGACGCUCAUGUACGAAAGCGUGGGUAGCAAAC